Quercus robur (English oak) is the source of this 992-nucleotide RNA transcript. It is a transcript of the gene named protein FAR1-RELATED SEQUENCE 5, with no coding region annotated. Lineage: Eukaryota; Viridiplantae; Streptophyta; Magnoliopsida; Fagales; Fagaceae. The transcript has 4 exons. The record is from RefSeq and is a predicted model, not a curated record.
UUAAAAAAUAAAAAUAAAAAAGCAAGCAAACCAAAACGGAUGCUGACGUGGCAGGACAUAAGAGUAGUAGACCACACACACUGAAGUCUGAACUGAACUCUGCGUUCCGAAGAAUCUUCCUCUCUAGCUGUUUGCUUUUGGGAUUUAGAUCUCUGAUUCAAUGGAUGAACACCAUUCUUCGGGUGAAGAUGGGGAUAUGAUAGAGAGUUCUAAUGGGAAGGAUUUGGUUUCAACUGAAGGGAGUUCAGAUAUGGAGCCGUAUGUGGGUAUGGAUUUUGAAUCUGAGGAGGCUGCCAAGGUGUUCUAUGAUGCAUACGCCACUCGCAUGGGGUUCAUCAUGCGCGUUGAUGCAUUUCGGAGAUCAAUGCGUGAUGGGAAAGUUGUUUGGCGUCGACUUGUGUGUAAUAAAGAGGGUUUUCGUAAAUUGAGGCCCAAAAGAAGUGAAAAUAGGAAACCUCGGGCAAUCACAAGGGAAGGUUGUAAGGCAAUGAUAGUGGUGAAGAAAGAGAAAACUGGGAAAUGGGUUGUUACAAGAUUUGUAAAGGAGCAUAAUCAUCCAUUGGUAGUUACACCUGCUAAUGGUAGACGAAGUGUGCUUCUAUCACAAACACCCGAUGAGAAAGAUGUAAAAAUUCGAGAAUUGACUGCUGAGUUACAGCGAGAGCGAAAGCGAUCUGCAGCUUUUCAAGAACAACUUGAUAUGGUUCUAAGAGAUAUGGAGGACCAUUCACACCACCUAUCUAGAAACAUUGAUGACAUAGUUCAAAGUGUGAGGGAAAUUGAAUCAAAGAGGUUAGCCCUUUCACAUAGCUAGUGGCUGCAGUAGAUGUUCAAUUUGAUUUGUCUCUGUACAAUUUCUUUGAUUAUGUAUCAUUUAUUUUCAAGAUAUAAAUUUUAGUUGUAGGUUUUUCUUUUUAGUCUGGCAUUGUAGGUUGAACUCCUCUUAUUGUAUAAUAAAUAAGGCAAAUAAAAUUUGGUGAGGUGUUUAGCGA